GGAAUUUUGCACAAUGGGCGAAAGCCUGAUGCAGCGACGCCGCGUGGAGGAUGAAGGUUUUCGGAUCGUAAACUCCUGUUAAGUGGGAAGAAAGAACAUAGGUUAAUACCCUAUGGUGAUGACGGUACCACUAGAGAAAGCACCGGCUAACUUCGUGCCAGCAGCCGCGGUAAUACGAGGGGUGCUAGCGUUAUUCGGAAUUACUGGGCGUAAAGAGCGCGUAGGCGGUUUCUUAAGUCUGUUGUUAAAUUACUCAGCCCAACUGAGUGCCAGCAAUAGAUACUGAGAGGCUAGAGGGCAAGAGAGAGAGGUAGAAUUCUCGGAGUAGCGGUAAAAUGCGUAGAUCUCGAGAGGAAUACCGAUGGCGAAGGCAGCUUCUUGGCUUGCAUCUGACGCUCAAGCGCGAAAGCGUGGGGAGCA
Molecule: ribosomal RNA, 420 nt
Filed under: uncultured bacterium
Lineage: Bacteria
Description: bacterial SSU rRNA
Rfam family: Bacterial small subunit ribosomal RNA
Source: RNAcentral